AGCAGCCGCGGUAAUUCCAGCUCCAAUAGCGUAUAUUAAAGUUGCUGCAGUUAAAAGCUCGUAGUUGAAUUUCGGGACUAUCAUGUCGGUCGUGCCUCGGUACGUACUGGCAUUGUUGGUUUCUACCUUCUGACGAACCAUGAUGUCAUUUAUUUGGUGUCGUGGGGAAUCAGGACUGUUACUUUGAAAAAUUAGAGUGUUUAAAGCAGGCUCACGCUUGAAUACAUUAGCAUGGAAUAAUGAAAUAGGACGUUUGAUUCUAUUUUGUUGGUUUCUAGGAUCGACGUAGUGAUUAAUAGGGAUAGUUGGGGGCAUUAGUAUUCAAUUGUCAGAGGUGAAAUUCUUGGAUUUAUUGAAGACUAACUACUGCGAAAGCAUUUGCCAAGGAUGUUUUCAUUAAUCAAGAAUGAAAGUUAAGGGAUCAAAGACGAUUAAGUACAUCGUAGUCCUAACCAUAAACUAUGCCAACUAGGAAUCAGACGAUGUUAAUUUUUUAAUGACUCAUUCGGCGCCUUACGGGAAACCAAAGUGUUUGGG
RNAcentral lists this ribosomal RNA (537 nucleotides) under uncultured Glomeromycotina. RNAcentral's name for it is "SSU rRNA". It matches the Rfam family "Eukaryotic small subunit ribosomal RNA", at positions 569 to 1111 of the family's 1831-position model. Lineage: Eukaryota; Fungi; Glomeromycota. The record is from RNAcentral.